AGCCUAUAUAUAAUAUAAAUUAUAUUAAUAUAAAUAUGUACACGUAAAUACAUUUAAAUAUUUUGAAAAAAUAUAUGUCAGGAUUGGACUGUCUUUGUUGUGUUUUUCCCUCACGUGCCCUUAUUUGGUCGUUCCUGUUCCUGUCCUCGUUGUCUCUUAAUUAGCAAUUCUGUUCACCUGUGCUCCUCCCAAAGUCAUGUAUUUAGUUUCAGUCUGUGUGGACUCCUUCGUUCUUUCCAGUAGCGUAUUGUGACAAUAUACCGUAUGUGUGUAUAUUUAUAUAUAAAUAAUAAAUAUACACAGUACACACACAUAUAUUAUGUAAACAAAAACUUUUAUUUUAGAUGCGAUUAAUCGCGAUUAAUCAUUUGACAGCACUAACAUACAGUAUAUAUAUAUAUAUAUACAGUGGGUAAAAUAAUUAUUGAACACGUCGCCAUUUUUUUCAGUAAAUGUAUUUCUAUAGAUGCUGUUAACAUGACAUUUUCACCAGAUGUUGAUAACAACACAAGUAAUACAUUAAUACAAAUAAAAGUUCUGUGGGCCUUUUCUAUGAACUCUGAUCUUUAGUUCUUAUUUUCUAUUUGUCACGAUCUGAGGGGUAUUGCACAAAAGUAGAAUUAAGAAAGCCAGGAUAACAGAAAAGGCGCGUCUUGACCUAGUUCAAUCAGCACAUUCUGGCUUAGUCUGUUGCACAUUUGCUAAGCCAGGAUGAGAGUGUGCAGCUAUGUCAAGCCAAGUGUAGAUAGUUGAGAUAAGUGCACGUUCACGGCAUUCUGAAACAGACCACGGGAUCGAUCACAGAAUCAAUGAUGCAAAAAUGGAUAAAACCUGUGCGGCAUACUUCUCGCCAACUGAGCAACAGCUUCUAAUGGAAACAUAUGAAGAGCUGAAACAUAUAAUAUGUAAAAAGGGAAAUACAGCUUCUUUAAUAUAACAAAGACAAAGUUUUAUUUCAGAUUAUAGAUUAGAUAAAAUCAAUUAGAUAGAAAAAAACCUAAAUAAAAAUAGAUAAAAGAGAUAGAUGCAAUAGAUUAAAUAGACAGAUAAAAAUGAGCAAAAUAGAUCAAAUACUGUAGAUGCGCAUAGUGUAUAAGUGUUUGCAAUUAAUCAUACAUGUGCUUGCAUAAGUAACAUGCAUGUCCACUGGUCACAUUUAAGGCAAAGUGUCCAACUGUUAAUUCUGGAUGUCUCCAAAGAAGAACUGCAGGAGUACAUCCGCACUCAGUACAGUGACCCAGCAAGGAACAAUCCGCUAGAUUUGCCAGGGUAUGUUCCCAGACCCUCAGAACCAUCAGCCCUGUUUGACAUAUCUCCACCAAAGUUUAGCGAGAUCAGGCAGGUGAUCCGGCGGGCAAGAUCUGCUUCAGCACCAGGCCCGAAUGGAAUACCGUACAAGCUGUAUAAGAGCUGCCCAGCAGUGCUGAAGCUGUUAUGGUCCCUGAUGAGAAUCACCUGGACUAAGCAGACUAUACCAUCUGAGUGGCAGAGGGCAGUGGCAGUCUCUAUUCCCAAACAACAGAAUGCUAAGACCAUCGAGCAGCAUACGGAGAACAACUACAUCGAUACCUUCAGAUACCACCUGUCAGAAAGCCGGGAUCCCAGGCUUUCCUGGCUGUGUAGAGCAUGCUUCCAUGAUUUGGGAACAGAUCCAAACCACCAAGAGGAAGAAGAAAGAUCUGCACGUUAUAUGGCUAGACCUAGCCAAUGCCUAUGGGUCAGUGCCACACCUGCUCAUAGCCUAUGCUUUGGAAUUCUUCUACAUUCCAGACAACAUCAGGACCAUGAUCAUGAACUACUACCAGGACAUGCACAUGUGUUUUGCACUGAAGAAAGUCACCACUGGUUGGCAAAAACUGGAAGUAGGGAUCGCAAUGGGAUGCUCCAUUUCUCCCAUCCUCUUUGUGGCAGCAUUUGAGGUCAUCCUGAUCGGAGCAAGGCAGGUGGUGGGUGGAGUCCGGCUGCCUGCAGGUCAGAGGCUCCCACCCUUAAGGAGCUAUAUGGAUGACAUUACCUGCCUGCUACGAACCGCCCCAUGUACAACCAGGUUACUCAGGAGGUUGGAUGAGCUGAUCACCUGGGCCAGAAUGAAGUUCAAGCAACAGAAGUCAAGGAGCCUCUCAUUGCGAAAGGGGGAAAGAAACGACAGAGUCACCUUCACCAUCAGCAUCGUGGAUCAGCCCAUCUGAAGCCUGGGAAGACUUUAUACAUCAGGUCUCUCAGACAAGGAUAUGGGGAAAUUCAUCCUUCAGCAGUUGUCAGAAGGCCUGUCCAAGAUUGACGCAAGCCAGCUACCUGGAAAGUACAAGGUGUGGUGUUAUCACUUCACUUUGUACCCAAGGGUGAUGUGACCUCUGAAGCUGUGCGAAGUCACCUCAACAGCAGUAAGCCGGAUGGAGGCAAAAGCUAACUUUUUCAUUCGCAAAUGGCUUGGCCUACCACGGUGCUUCUCAGCUGCUGGUUUGUAUGGAUGGAAUUCCCUCCAGCUACCCCUGAAAUCCAUCAAAUUGGGCUAUAGGCAGGAGAAGGCAAGGCUGGUGAUGGAAUUAAGUGAUUCCUCUGACAGGGCAGUGGCUGAUGCAAAUGCCAGAGUUGAGACUGGAGGGAAAUGGAGGGAAGGAAGAGGUGCAGAGAGUGAUAGGAAGGCUGCAACACCAACAAAUUGUGGGAACGGUCCAGACAGGGAGGACAGGCCUUGGAUGGAGGGAGCCACCCAUCCUAUGGUCCAAGGCAAGUAGGAAGGAGAGGAAGGACCUAGUUGUUGCAGAGGUCACCACGAUUGAGCAGGAGGAGCUCAGAGUAAGGUCUGUGGCACAGGGGCAGCAGGGGUGGUGGACAACUUGGGUGGGUGUUACAAGCCGAGCAAUCAGCUGGGCAGAGUUCUGGAAACUGCCACAAGCCCGGCUCAGUUUCCUCAUUAGGGCAACAUAAAACACCCUACCGAGCCCAAAAACCCUCCACCAAUGGCUUGGUACAGAGCAAUCCUGUGACCUCUGCGGGACCAUCAAUGCCUCACUCCAGCAUGUUCUGUCCGGCUGUAAAACAGCACUAACACAGGGUCGGCUCAGAUGGCGGCAUGACCAAGUGCUUAGGAAGCUGGCAGAGGUGCUGGAGAAAAGUCGGCAGGAGGCAAAUAAUCAGAGUCCAUUAGAGAGUUGAUGUAGGAUCCACUUACUCAGGGAGGGGGAACCCGCAAUGCAUACCAGCAAGAGACCACCUGCCAAGUUAUUAACACCAGGGGCAGUGUGGAAGAUGGAAGUAGACCUGGGAAGGCAGCUCCAGUUCCCACAGGAAAUAUGCAGCACCACAUUAAGACCAGAUGUGGUGCUCUGGUCUGCAGCUGUGAAGUCAGUGAUAGUGAUCAAGCUGACAGUGCCAUGGGAGGAAGGACUCGAAGCUGCUUACGAGAGAAAGAAAGCGAAGUAUGCAGACUUGGUUGCAUAGUGCAGAGAAAGUGGAUGGAGAGUGAGGCUGUACCCGGUGGAGGUGGGAGCCAGAGGCUUUAUGGGCAGAUCAAUAUCAUGCCUGCUCAAGGACCUGGGAUUACGGGGAACCACACUGAGCAGAUCCACCAAAGAGCUCUCUGAGGAAGCGGAGAAAGCAAGCCAUUGGCUCUGGCUGAAACGAUGUGAUAAGGCUUGGGGAGUAACAUCUAAUUAGGUUUUGCUGCAGGGAGUGUCAGGGAGACGUCCCUGUUCACUGCCCCACCACCAGGAGAUGUUCUGGGUUAAGGGGCGAAACGUCAAUGAGCGGUGGUCCCCAGCUGAAGACCCUGCAGCAAAACCACAUGGUAUGCAGUCAGGUUUAGGCCUGCCUCAGGGAAAAGGACGCCCCUGCCAUGCAUAGUCCACCAUAGGCACCGUAGGAGGUGCGACAGGCCUCAAGGUCCAGCAGAAAGACCACCUCACUGUAAUGAAUGAGGGAAAUGACAAAUAACUCCUUGAAUUGUAAUUAUGAUGGCUUCAGUGGAGUACUGGUUAUUUGGACUACUUAUGCAUUCAGUUGGUCCGCUAUUGUCUGCCAGGCUUACCCACUUAUCCACUAUGCGUAUCUACAGUAUUUGAUCUAUUUUGUACAUUUUAUCUGUCUAUUUAAUCUAUCUCAUGUCUCUUUUAUCUAUUUAUAUCUGGCGCGGGGGGUGGCCCUCCAACCCAAGACUUGACCACAGCAGAGGAGCUGGCCCUGGAGUUGAAAGGGAAGCCAGUGAUGGAAGGGACACAGUGAGGGACAGCCACUGACUCUGGCCCAGCAAGAAAGACUGGCCUCUUCAUACAAGUGUCUGGUAACACACUUACAGUUCUGGAGCCACCAGACUAUGAUCCGCUGGUGACUUCUCUUUAUUAAAAUCAUAGGCUUGGCACAUCCUGUCAAAACUAUCAGUACAAGUUCUAUUGAAUAUGGCAGAGGGAAGGCACAUCUGACGAUGAUGAGAUCGUGUCACUGGACUCCAGAAGGCUUGAGAAAGCAACUCAUACAGGUUUGGAUAGAACUUCAAAAGAAGAAUCAGAUGAUCCAGAACAUAUAAAGUUCCUCUGAGUUCUCAGUCUCAGCCCUGGCUUCCUCAUCCGCCAUGGUGGUCUUCUGCUCCAUUGUGGGGAUCUUCGGACCCAUCUGCUCUGCUAUUGUGGCCAUCUGCUCCACCCUGGUGGUCCUCAGUUCUGCCGGCUCCACCCUGAUGCUCUGCUCUGGUACUCUUCAGCUCCGCCCUGAUUCCCUGUUCCGCCGGCUCUGCCUCGGGAAUCAGGUUCUCUUCCUGCACAUGAACCUGGUCCUCCAUCCCUCCCCCGUUCCGCCUCCGCUCCCCUUUCUUUCUGGAUUAUACUGUUGGGAGCGUCUGGAAGCCACUCCUUUGGGGAGGGCUCUGUCACGAUCCGUUCCCUGCUCACAACCAGAGGUUGCCACUCAGACAUUCACCCUGGACUCCAUUUCCCAAGAUCCCCUCUGAUUACUCACUCGCCUGUUUCCAAUAACCCGGACACCAUAAAAGUUGCACUCGCUCACAUACAGGGCCUGAGUAUUGAUUAGCCUAGCUGCCAUACCAAGUGUUUGUAUUCUGUUUCCUAGUCUUGUUGUUCUGACCCUAGCCUGUUUCUCACCUUUGAUCACUUGCUGCUUGCCUUUUUUGACUAUUGCCUGUAUUGGAUUAUUCUCUUGCCUUGCCCUAUGGACACUGGUUGCUGGUGUAUGACCUUUGCCUGUCUGACUAUGCUCUUUGUUUGAAUAAAAGCUGCAAUUGGAUCUGACCUUGCCUAAACGACCCUGAUCAUUACACUAUUGAAUUCAAGUCAGGUGAUUGGCUGGGCCACUCUAGCAGCUUUAUUUUCUUUUUCUGAAACCAAUCGCAAGUUUCCUUGGCUGUGUUUGGGACCAGUGUCUUGCUGAAAUGUCUACCCUAGUUUCAUCUUCAUCCUGGUACUGUAGGGGUUGGGACUGAACCAGCUAAUAUUAAUUUCCACUGACAAGAGGCAGUAU
Long non-coding RNA from Cyprinus carpio carpio, 5472 nucleotides. The record is from Ensembl. Lineage: Eukaryota; Metazoa; Chordata; Actinopteri; Cypriniformes; Cyprinidae.